Molecule: long non-coding RNA, 1653 nt
Organism: Dunckerocampus dactyliophorus (ringed pipefish)
Lineage: Eukaryota; Metazoa; Chordata; Actinopteri; Syngnathiformes; Syngnathidae
Exons: 3
Source: RefSeq, a predicted model, not a curated record
GUGGGAAGAAAGACGGAACACAAAUGCCCCCAAAAAGAAAAUCAUAUUUUGCAGAUUACAAGCUGAAAGUAGUGAAAUUUGCAGCCGAAAACGGUAAGUUUGGAGUGAACGACAAACUUGUGAGGAACUGGCGAAAAGCGACGGAUACUGUAACUGCAAUGAAGACAACAAAAAAAGGUGAUUGCGGGCUAAAGGCGAGAUGACCACUACGAGACGAUAGAUGGUGUAUUUUAUGAAGUGUCCAGCGAGUGUGCGUCACCUUUUCAAGUCUAACAGGCAGACAGUCUUCAAGGUGAGGCUGAAGAGGAAGUCAGCGUCUCAAAAGCAGAGAGAUGACUUGGAAUGAGAUGAAAAUAAAAAGUCAAGGAGGAUUUGAGGAGCUUUGCAGCAUCUCACUUUGACCUUGACCACACCAAGUACAAUUGAUGCUGGCUGUUGCCCGGCAACAUGACCUCCCUCUAUGAAAUGAAGGAAGACCAACUUUCAAAGCAUUCUCUCAGACAGGGUGAUGGGGCAAAGGUCAGCCCAAUGAGCAUCUUUAAUCUCGCACACAUUAUGGUCAUCCUACGUGUGUGCGACCCCAAGGAGGCAGCCUGUCAAAAUCAAAGCCCCCCCAGACAUCCUUCCUUAUAAAGGCAGUGUAAUAUCAUUUUGUACAAAGAGGCUUUCAAAGAAGAAAAACGUGAUGGAGUGUCUCCUAAUUCCCACUGAGGUGUUUCAUGGAAAGACGAGAAGGCUUGGGAACGCCGAUGCUUCCACAGAGGCCAUCUGGAUCAUGCCGGGACGAUACCCUGGUGACUGUUGCCAUUUUACGCACCCGCUGGACAAAGAAAAGGCCUGCUGCGUUAUUAAAAGUGUAUGAAAUGUUUUAUGUUUUUCCACAACCACAUGAGGAAAGUUGCUCUCCUGCCGCAUUUUAAUAUGCUUAUUUAGCUCACAGGGGAUGCUUUUAUAAAAUACUUGUGUACGUGUGGACGCAGGCUUCAACAGAUGAGGGGAAAAAAAAGGCAUCAAAGGAGCGUCUCUGCAUCCUAUUUAAAGCACAGACGUCUGCUUGUUGUGGAAUUCCCUUCAUGUCAAAAGGAGCUCAUCAAUUCAACAUGAGACAACGUCCAGGACAGUUAAUCUCCCAAACACAAUGAAAAUUUCUGUAUCGCUAGCAUGCUAAUGAUGUUCAUCUUUAGCCAGCUGUUAAAAUAUACUAGAGGAGGAAAUAAUUAGCCAUGAUGCUAUCAUGUUUGACCACAGCUAGCUAGCUUCACUGGCCUUUCAUUACACAGCCUCACCAUAUCAGAUUAGAAUGACCCCAAAAAGUCGACAUGAGUUCAAUACAAGGCAUUUAGCCUUACAUGCUAAUAAUGAAAGUUGAUGGCAUUCACAAUGGAAACAUGAAGGCAGUGGAUAGCAAAUAAGACAACGCGUGUAAGCUAUCCCUCGUUUUCAUGUCCAGAUACAUCUAGACAUCUCAAAUAAGCCAUUUAAGACAGUUUACCCAGUAGGGGAGCAGAAUCGACAAAAGACAGGAAUUGACGCCAGGGGUUCACAGUUGAGUUUUAGCUUGUUGUCGGCUGUGGCUGCAACAGCAACCCGUGUUGCUGUUGUAUAUGUUAUUAUUGUGCCUGCUGUGUCAUUUAAAUCUACAAUAAAAGCUGG